GACGAACGCUGGCGGCGUGCUUAACACAUGCAAGUCGAACGGAAAGGCUCCAGCUUGCUGGAGUACUCGAGUGGCGAACGGGUGAGUAACACGUGGGUAAUCUGCCCUGCACUCUGGGAUAAGCCUGGGAAACUGGGUCUAAUACUGGAUAUGACCUUUCUCCUUAUGGGGUUUGGUGGAAAGUUUUUCGGUGUAGGAUGAGCCCGCGGCCUAUCAGCUUGUUGGUGGGGUGACGGCCUACCAAGGCGACGACGGGUAGCCGGCCUGAGAGGGUGAUCGGCCACAUUGGGACUGAGAUACGGCCCAGACUCCUACGGGAGGCAGCAGUGGGGAAUAUUGCACAAUGGGCGGAAGCCUGAUGCAGCGACGCCGCGUGAGGGAUGACGGCCUUCGGGUUGUAAACCUCUUUCAGCAGGGACGAAGCGUAAGUGACGGUACCUGCAGAAGAAGCACCGGCUAACUAUGUG
Molecule: ribosomal RNA, 467 nt
Filed under: uncultured bacterium
Lineage: Bacteria
Description: partial 16S ribosomal RNA
Rfam family: Bacterial small subunit ribosomal RNA
Source: RNAcentral